UAAAAGUUUUAUUUUAGCUUAAAAAUUUAUUAUUAAUUUAAUUUAUAUGUAAAUUUUUGUGUGAAUUAUUAUUUAUUUUAAUAAUAAAUAAUUAAUAAUUAUUUGCAAUAAUUAAUAUUAUAAAUUAAAGAAAUUUAGAUAUAGUAAUAUUAAAAAGUAUUGGUUAAAUUUGUGCCAGCAACCGCGGUUAUACGAAUAAUACAAAUAAAUUAUAUUAGAAAAAGUUAAAUUGAAAUUAUAAAAUAUUAAUAAAUUUAUUAGGUGAAAUUUUUAAAUUUAUUAAAUUUUUAAAUUAAUUAAUUAAAGCUUGGAAAUUUUAUUAAUAAACUAGGAUUAGAUACCCUAUUAUUAAAAAUGUAAUUAAAAAAUUCUAAGGUAGUAUUAGUUAUGUUCUUGAAACUUAAAAAAUUUGGCGGUAUUUUAGUCUAUUCAGAGGAACCUGUUCUGUAAUCGAUAAUCCACGAUGGACCUUACUUAAUUUUGUAAUCAGUUUAUAUACCGUCGUUAUUAGAAUAUUUUAAAAGAAUGUUAAUUUUCAAGAUUUUUAAAAAGAAAAAAUAUCAGAUCAAGGUGUAACUUAUAUUUAAGUAGAAAUGGGUUACAAUAAAUUUAUUUAAACGAAUGUAAAUAUGUAAAAUUUACUAAAGGUGGAUUUGAUAGUAAAAUUAUAAAGAUUAAUAAUUUGAUUUUAGCUCUAAAAUAUGCACACAUCGCCCGUCACUCUUAUUAUUAAGAUAAGAUAAGUCGUAACAUAGUAGAUGUACUGGAAAGUGUAUCUAGAAUG
This 784-nucleotide non-coding RNA is filed under the name Taxigramma karakulensis. The record is from RNAcentral. Lineage: Eukaryota; Metazoa; Arthropoda; Insecta; Diptera; Sarcophagidae.